CCUACGGGUGGCAGCAGUGGGGAAUAUUGGACAAUGGGGGGAACCCUGAUCCAGCCAUGCCGCGUGUGUGAAGAAGGCCCUCGGGUUGUAAAGCACUUUCAGUGAGGAAGAACGCCUGGUGGUUAAUACCCAUCAGGAAAGACAUCACUCACAGAAGAAGCACCGGCUAACUCCGUGCCAGCAGCCGCGGUAAUACGGAGGGUGCGAGCGUUAAUCGGAAUUACUGGGCGUAAAGCGCGCGUAGGUGGCUUGAUAAGCCGGUUGUGAAAGCCCCGGGCUCAACCUGGGAACGGCAUCCGGAACUGUCAAGCUAGAGUGCAGGAGAGGAAGGUAGACUUCCCGGUGUAGCGGUGAAAUGCGUAGAGAUCGGGAGGAAUACCAGUGGCGAAGGCGGCCUUCUGGACUGACACUGACACUGAGGUGCGAAAGCGUGGGUAGCAAACAGGAUUAGAUACCCCGGUAGUC
This 465-nucleotide ribosomal RNA is filed under the name Vreelandella stevensii. Its description in RNAcentral is "partial 16S ribosomal RNA". It matches the Rfam family "Bacterial small subunit ribosomal RNA", at positions 338 to 795 of the family's 1533-position model. Lineage: Bacteria; Pseudomonadati; Pseudomonadota; Gammaproteobacteria; Oceanospirillales; Halomonadaceae. The record is from RNAcentral.